AUUGAACGCUGGCGGAAUGCUUUACACAUGCAAGUCGAACGGCAGCACGGACUUCGGUCUGGUGGCGAGUGGCGAACGGGCGAGUAAUGUAUCGGAACGUGCCCAGUCGUGGGGGAUAACGUAGUGAAAAUUACGCUAAUACCGCAUACGAUCUAUGGAUGAAAGCGGGGGAUCGCAAGACCUCGCGCGAUUGGAGCGGCCGAUAUCAAAUUAGGUAGUUGGUGGGGUAAAGCCCCACCAAGCCAACGAUCUGUAGCUGGUCUGAGAGGACGACCAGCCACACGGGAACUGAGACACGGUCCAGACUCCUACGGGAGGCAGCAGUGGGGAAUUUUGGACAAUGGGCGAAAGCCUGAUCCAGCCGUUCCGCGUGCAGGAUGAAGGCGCUCGGGUCGUAAACUGCUUUUGUACAGAACGAAAAGGUUUCUACUAAUACUAGGAGCUCAUGACGGUACUGUAAGAAUAAGCACCGGCUAACUACGUGCCAGCCGCCGCUGUAA
This 500-nucleotide ribosomal RNA is filed under the name uncultured bacterium. Its description in RNAcentral is "partial 16S ribosomal RNA". It matches the Rfam family "Bacterial small subunit ribosomal RNA", at positions 30 to 523 of the family's 1533-position model. The record is from RNAcentral.